ACACAUGCAAAGUUCCCGCACCCCUGUGAGAAUGCCCUUUACAUCCGGCAGGAAGAAAGGAGCGGGCAUCAGGCACACCCUCGUAGCCCAAAACGCCUUGCUUAGCCACACCCCCAAGGGAAAUCAGCAGUGACAAACAUUAAGCCAUUAGCGAAAGCUUGACUUAGUUAGAGCUAAGAGGGCCGGUAAAACUCGUGCCAGCAACCGCGGUUAUACGAGAGGCCCAAAUUGACGCACCACGGCGUAAAGUGUGAUUAGAGAUCAACCCAGACUAAAGCCGAACACCCCUUAUGCUGUCAUACGCCAUGGGGGUCACGAAGCUCAACAGCGAAAGUGGCUUUAUGAAUCUUGAACUCACGACAGCUAGGACACAAACUGGGAUUAGAUACCCCACUAUGCUUAGCCUUAAACCAAGGUGAUUUACCCUACAAACUUCACCCGCCAGGGAACUACGAGCCCCAGCUUAAAACCCAAGGGACUUGGCGGUGCCUCAAAACCACCUAGAGGAGCCUGUCCUAUAACCGAUAAUCCCCGUUAAACCUCACCCCUCCUUGCUAAUUCCGCCUAUAUACCGCCGUCGCCAGUUUACCUUGUGAAGGAAAAACAGUAAGCAAAAUGGGCAACACCCAACACGUCAGGUCGAGGUGUAGCGAAUGGAGGGGGAAGAGAUGGGCUACAUUUUUCUGAGAACAGAACACUACGAAGAGCGCAAUGAAACGUGCACGGCCGA
This 730-nucleotide ribosomal RNA is filed under the name Echidna nebulosa (snowflake moray). RNAcentral's name for it is "partial 12S ribosomal RNA subunit". It matches the Rfam family "Bacterial small subunit ribosomal RNA", at positions 51 to 1285 of the family's 1533-position model. Lineage: Eukaryota; Metazoa; Chordata; Actinopteri; Anguilliformes; Muraenidae. The record is from RNAcentral.